Long non-coding RNA from Gordionus sp. m RMFG-2023, 253 nucleotides. RefSeq lists it as uncharacterized. The record is from RefSeq and is a predicted model, not a curated record. NCBI's taxonomy places the organism in Eukaryota, Metazoa, Nematomorpha, Gordioida, Chordodea, Parachordodidae. The transcript has 5 exons.
AAAAAUAAAUAUUUUUUACCUUACUAUUUAUUAAUAAAAUAAUAAAACUUAAUUAUGCUAUCUAAAUAUUUCUUGCUAAUUACUAUAACUGUUCUUAUCCAAGGACAUUUUGGACAGAUACAUAAUUCUGGACCAAGAGAUUAUGCGGGGGCAAUACCAAAUCAACCUUAUGGAUUUCAAUGGACUAAUGCACCAAUAGAUGAAUUGAACUGCACAAAUUCAAAUAGACUUUAUGGAAUCCUAUGUAGAGAAA